RNAcentral lists this ribosomal RNA (301 nucleotides) under uncultured bacterium. RNAcentral's name for it is "partial 16S ribosomal RNA". It matches the Rfam family "Bacterial small subunit ribosomal RNA", at positions 509 to 809 of the family's 1533-position model. The record is from RNAcentral.
CAGUCGCCACGGUAAUACGUAGGUGGCAAGCAUCGUCCGGAAUUAUUGGGCGUAAAGCGCGCGCAGGCGGAUAGGUCAGUCUGUCUUAAAAGUUCGGGGCUUAACCCCGUGAUGGGAUGGAAACUGCCAAUCUAGAGUAUCGGAGAGGAAAGUGGAAUUCCUAGUGUAGCAGUGAAAUGCGUAGAUAUUAGGAAGAACACCAGUGGCGAAGGCGACUUUCUGGACGAAAACUGACGCUGAGGCGCGAAAGCCAGGGGAGCGAACAGGAUUAGAUACCCCCGUAGUCCCUGUCUCUUAUACA